UAGCUCAGUUGGUAAAGAAUCUGCCUGCAAUGCAGGAAACCCUGGUUCGAUUCCUGG
Non-coding RNA from Ovis aries (sheep), 57 nucleotides. The record is from Rfam. Lineage: Eukaryota; Metazoa; Chordata; Mammalia; Artiodactyla; Bovidae.